CCGAGACCUUUAGCUGGUAGUGUGACCGCCAGAGGGCGGGGCAGAUGUAACAGAGGAUAAAAGCUUUUCUGUACAGCGUUUAAGGAACAUGAUAACAAAAGCUGCACUUUCAUUUCUUGAAAAGAUUAUCUGGUAUCUAGAGAACGCGCUGUAAAUGCCCAAAAUCUAAGGAGUUUUUGGUAUUGGCAUAAGGAGUCCCAUUCUCACCUGGGAAUUAUUUAGGAUAGCUACACAGAGCCAAAGAAAUGUGUGAUAUGAAAUGAAGCAAUCGGACAGUCACUAGAAGAAUUUAAGCCCUUUUAAGGCAGCUACCAAAGAAAAGUGUCUGAUGAAGGAACAAGGAGAUUUAAAAAAAAAAAAAAAGAUAAAAGCACUGAAAGGGAACUAUACCCAUUGGGUGGAUAGAUGACUCACUUUGAAGGUAAUAGGAGGAAUUUACCUUGGAAAACUUAGGAUUUUUCACUGAUGAAAUAUAGAAAGGGUAAUUUACUAAAAAGUGCAAAUGGCCACUGAACUUAACACCAGGGUAAUUCUCAAACAAACUUGUAAUUACAGAAGAGCAUAACAUGAAAUCUCUAGUUACAGCAAACACUCCAUCCUCAUCACUAAGCUAUUGUUUGAGAAUUCAGCUAUAGAAAUAAAUUUGGUCCUAACUUCAGAGGAAACGAAAGAGGUGGGAGAUGUUAACUCAUUCAGAUCCAGGUGAAAAAAAAUCUCUUCCUGUUAAGUCAUUUUGAUGUAUGUCAGUGCUGAGGGAGUUGAUUAAAAAUGCAUAAGAAAUUGUUAAUUUGAAUGUGAUGCUCCUAAAACCUCUGCAUUCUUUGUGUUCCAGGUGCUGAUUGUGUAUAAGAACACAAUGCAGAUAGGAAUUACAAAGACCUGAACUGCUAUUUCUACUCUAAUAUGAAAGUUGGUACAGGCCUUGAGACUAUGUCAUAGUCAGAGAAUACUUUUUUUACAUAAAUAUUACAAAUACAGAGUCCAUCUCAUGUUGAAUUUCUUUACUGUUACUAUUAACUAUUAAAUGAUCAUCUGUUCAUCUUCCAAGAUUAAAUGGCUUGACAGUUUAGAUAUUUGCACUGUUUACAUGCAUAUGAAAUAAAUGUGCUUCACUUGUGUUUGAACACACAUUUUAUAUACCAAAGGCCUGUAUGGAGAACUGCAUAUUUUUUCUUUUUAUUUUCCAAGAUAUACAAUAGCAUUAUGAAACAGAGAAUUUACAAGAAUUAGUUACAAGAGCAUACCUCUAAUUUUUGCUAUUAACUUCCUGCUUUUCUGUUAAUAAAGUCAAAAGCCUUAUUGAGACCCUAUUUAUGCUAAUUCAGAGUGAAAACUAUGCAUGCCCCAUGAGCCUCUUUCAGCAGCCUCAUCCCCCAACCUACUUUUUCUUGAGUAUUUAGAAGGAUUGUUUAGGACUUUGGACAUUAUCCUCAGUUGGAACAUCCUAUAGACCCUGUCUGAUGAACAGAAGUCUUUGGAAUUUAUAGAACCCAACACUUUUGAUUUAAGAUUUUAUUAAGAGGUAACUGCUCUUGAAACCACAGAGGAUGCUCACCUACAUACAACCUCUGAACCCACAUUGGCUUUACCUGGGAAAUACAUUCAUGCUCCAACAGCACACAUCAUGCGUAUCUAUAGCUCACAGGAUGUGUGUGGCCCAGGACAGACAGUAAUGCAUCCCAGAGCUUUCAACAUAAAACUUUUAACAUUAUUGUGAGAUUUUUAGCAACAUUUUCCUGGAAUCAGUUGUGCUUAGCUUGAGCAGGGGCUGCAUUGGUGACAACAGAGCAUUGCAGAGUGAAGUGUGCAGUGCUCCACAACUCAGGCCUGCCAUGAACACUCAGUGGAAUCAAGAUCCAUGAGUUGCAUGUGUCAUGUGUGACACCCGGCGAUGAUCUACAUGAGACUGAUGAAACAGAGUGGAUGUGCACCUCACGACUACAUGCCUCCAGUAAUAUAUCAAGUGGGCUACUGCAGGCCUACCAGUUACCAAAAACAAACCAGGCUGUCACGGGGUUAUCUCUAGAUAUAAGUCCAUGAUAGGGGGGCACAGGCCCCUCUCUUCUUCUCUGCACCCCUCAGAAUUUAGAUCUGGGUACCCAUAGGACAAAAUGUAAUUGGAAGGUGCAGGUAGGGCCUAAAUGUUGUGGCCUACUUGCACCUUGGGCUUUCUAGUCCCUCUGGUAAUAGGUACAUGGCCUACUGAUAUUGUGGUCAACACUCCAGUCUUCAUUGCUAAAGGGACCCCCAUCAUGUCCCUAUGGCAGAUCAGGACACCCCCUUUGGUGCCUGAUAUAGUUAUGCAGCUGCAGACAUCUGGCCAGAAGGUGUGGUACAGGCAGCUGGGGCAUGCCCCAGUACAAGCUGAAGUGUUGACCCAAGAUAGAAAUACAGCGUGUAUCUUGCCCUGGAGGGUAGGCCUUCCUGGUACCUUUGAAUCAUUUGCAUUACUCCCCGUGAGUCAUUGAGCCUCUGGGACCACCGGAAGAAACAAAAUGUCCUCAAAGCAUUCCAGUGCUGCUGUCAGAUCAUGUGCAGCAUCUGGUGAUGGUCUGCAUGGGACUGAUGGAGCAUAGGAUGGACCUGCACCUCACAACUACAUGCCUCCAGUAACAUCAUCAAGCACUGGCCCAUGGAAGAACAUGAACUUCCACCAUUCAUCACUUGUCUUAAAUUGUGUCAACACAUAUCAGGACAGGACAUUGUGUAAGUGUCACAAUGUGUCGGAUUUCUGUAUUAGGAAAGACUCACCCUUUAGUUAACUCAAUCAUUGGUUCACACCAUGAAGGGGUGGAGUGUAUGGGAACUGUUGAAUCACAGCCUGAACCUCUGAUUGAUCACCUGAGGUGAGCACUGAGUCAGCUGCGGGAGCACAGGUGAAGGCAAUUCAUCUGUGUGUCCGGAAGAGGUGGAGCCUGGAUACAGCCCUCCUAGACCUCAUCUAAGUGCUGACUGCAACCAAGAAAGGAUCUCUCCUCAUGGAGUUUCUUGCAAGCCUACACACUGGUGAGCACUUCUCAUUUAUCUCUGAUAAUCUCUUCCAGUUUGAUUGUCUUACCAGUCUAACUUCUCUAUUAUUGUCUACUUAUUGACCAUACAUCUCUCUAUAUGUAAUUGUGUGUAAAAUAUGGUGAUUGCCAAUAUUUCAGCCUACCUAUGCGUGUGUGUACCUGUGAAGAUGCAUGUUUUUUGUUAUGAAAGAAAUUUGCAAGUUUUAUGAUUUUAAUUAUUAAUUAAAUGUGUAUUUCACCUACAUUUAUUCACUUUUCCUCAGAACUUGUAAAUUUACCAUAAUACACAUUUAGCAGCCGCUUUUUUUCUUCAUGGAAGUAACGUAAGUUAGAUAUUUUGUGAUAAAAUCUAAAACACAGAUGAAAUAAAAAUGCAAGAAAAAAAAAGUAUAUAUUCCGAAAUAAGACAGAAUUUGAAAACUUUCUCAGCUCACCUCCAAUUCAUAGUUGGGAAAGGGGCAGCAAAUGUAAAAUUGCUAUAAAAUAACGAACCAAUGUAACUUCUGAAUGUGGUAACAUCUACUACUGGCAAAUGGAACACAGGGUGUGCAGUGUGGGGAUUUUUAACUGUAAUUCUUGUUAGGGUAACUGCAGUAUCUGCUGUGUCCUCACCUUGGCACAAAGAAAUACAGAGUGACAAUCAGACAUUCUACUCAAAACCAUUUGUGUUACCUCAGCAGACUUCUAUGGCCUCUCUUAACAGAGAAAAAUAGACCUUGCUUCUGCAUCGCCCCUUAUUCACAUCAUCAGCUAUUGGGAGCCUGUAUAUUUGUGAACAACUAUCUCAAGGAUAAAGCCCAGGAAGAGUAAAACUUCAUGACAACCUCCUUGAGAGCUCACUGAGAAUGGCAACCAUGGCCAUCAAAGCACGCUGUUGUAUCAGUUGUGCAUAAAUGAGGUCACAUAUUCCUGAACGUGGUUUUGUUGCCCUUGUUAUGUUUUAAUUAGAAAAAAAUAUAUAAAAGUUUUGUUACUUCUA
This is a non-coding RNA of Coturnix japonica (Japanese quail), 3990 nucleotides long. The record is from RefSeq and is a predicted model, not a curated record. Lineage: Eukaryota; Metazoa; Chordata; Aves; Galliformes; Phasianidae.